This is a long non-coding RNA of Mauremys mutica (yellowpond turtle), 1078 nucleotides long. RefSeq lists it as uncharacterized. The record is from RefSeq and is a predicted model, not a curated record. The transcript has 3 exons. NCBI's taxonomy places the organism in Eukaryota, Metazoa, Chordata, Testudines, Geoemydidae.
CCCCCGCCGCCCCUCUUCGCUGGCAGAGACGGGAAGGCUGGCUCAGGGACGAGCAUAUUGUAGCAGACUCCGUUCCCUUUAGCAAUGGUUUGCAGGUGAAUCAUCCCAAGGCUCUCAGCACGGGGCUUUGCAAACACUAACUAACCCGGAGAGCACGCUGGUGGGGGUAGCGGGACACAAAAUGCUCUAUCUUGGCUGCUGGAUGGAGAGCGCUUGCUGUGUCGUCCCCUUCCGCUGUCCCUGCAGUGCUGCUGGAGCCAGAGGAUUGGAGCUCGGGGUUCCACUGCUACCUGAAAAGUUCCGAGUAAAGCAGGUAGAAAGUUGGGGAAUGAAGUCUUCUCUCCAGACACACGCUGUUUCAGGGAGAGAGGGGACACAGAGCACUAAUAUGCCAAAAACCAAGCCAUAAGAUAAAACACGUAAGGGUUGAGAUGCUUGAUCCUAUCCUUCUCCUGGGCCAAGAGAUCACAAAAGGACCAGAUGGUGAUCGGAGAACAAGGUAACAGUCCGAGAUUUGGGAAGAGUUGGGGGGGGGGGGGGGGAAUGAGGAUGACUUGUGCUUUGUCCUGAUUAAUUUUCUGUAAGAACUGAGGUAGGAGCAGCAAAGGAGGAAAGGCAUAGCUCGGAUGAUCUGACCAGGCGAGAAAAAGAUCACCACCCUGAGAGCAUAGUCCUAGAGCUCCAAGUAUAUGUUGCAUUUCUUGUUUGUUUGGGAAGCGAAUAGAUCCCAGUUGCUGGUCUCCUACUGAAGUGAAGACACUAUUUAUGGCUGAACCAUGCAAUUCCCACUCACGAUUGAUAGCAAAGUGCCUGCAGAGGGUGUCCGCCAACCCAUUCUGAGGCUGCCAACAGGGUGAUUCAAUUCCUGAUACACCAGUUCCACAGGGUGACUGCUUCUACACACAGGGGGAUUGAUCUUGCCCCUCCCACCCCCGGCUUGUUGAUGUAAAAGAGUUGCCAUGUUGUCUGACAUUAUCAGAACAUAGUGGGCAGGGGAGGCUCUACCUUUUUGGCCGCCCCAAGCAGUCAUGCGCGGGAGGCGCCCCGGAGCCGUGGGAGCAGCGGACCUCCCGUGUCG